Molecule: long non-coding RNA, 203 nt
Filed under: Panax ginseng (ginseng)
Lineage: Eukaryota; Viridiplantae; Streptophyta; Magnoliopsida; Apiales; Araliaceae
Description: long non-coding RNA (PGIN_LNC016866)
Source: RNAcentral
UCCACUAUCAUUGUAUUUCAGCUGGUAUUGUUUAGUCAUAAUACAAACACAAUCUUCCUCCUGAUUGUAGCCAUCAAUGAAAACAUUCCAGGACAUAUUAUCUUUGCUUGGCUUUUCAUCAAACACCUUAUCAUGUUUCAAUUGAUUGCACAUUUGAAUUUGUAGGCUUGGAACUUCAAUCCUAUUCCUUACCUACAACAGCU